This is a small nuclear RNA of Prolemur simus (greater bamboo lemur), 104 nucleotides long. Lineage: Eukaryota; Metazoa; Chordata; Mammalia; Primates; Lemuridae. The record is from Ensembl.
GUAUCGCUUCAGCAGUACAUAUACUAAAAUUGGAACAAUACAGAAGAUUAUCAUGGCCCUUGCCCAAGGAUGACAUGCAAAUUCAUGAAGCAUUCCAUAUUUAA